CUAUCAGCUUGUUGGUGGGGUGAUGGCCUACCAAGGCGACGACGGGUAGCCGGCCUGAGAGGGUGUCCGGCCACACUGGGACUGAGAUACGGCCCAGACUCCUACGGGAGGCAGCAGUGGGGAAUAUUGCACAAUGGGCGCAAGCCUGAUGCAGCGACGCCGCGUGGGGGAUGACGGCCUUCGGGUUGUAAACCUCUUUCAGUAGGGACGAAGCGCAAGUGACGGUACCUACAGAAGAAGCACCGGCCAACUACGUGCCAGCAGCCGCGGUAAUACGUAGGGUGCGAGCGUUGUCCGGAAUUACUGGGCGUAAAGAGCUCGUAGGUGGUUUGUCGCGUUGUUCGUGAAAACCGGGGGCUUAACCCUCGGCGUGCGGGCGAUACGGGCAGACUAGAGUACUGCAGGGGAGACUGGAAUUCCUGGUGUAGCGGUGGAAUGCGCAGAUAUCAGGAGGAACACCGGUGGCGAAGGCGGGUCUCUGGGCAGUAACUGACGCUGAGGAGCGAAAGCGUGGGGAGCGAACAGGAUUAGAUACCCUGGUAGUCCACGCCGUAAACGGUGGGUACUAGGUGUGGGUUUCCUUCCUUGGGAUCCGUGCCGUAGCUAACGCAUUAAGUACCCCGCCUGGGGAGUACGGCCGCAAGGCUAAAACUCAAAGGAAUUGACGGGGGCCCGCACAAGCGGCGGAGCAUGUGGAUUAAUUCGAUGCAACGCGAAGAACCUUACCUGGGUUUGACAUGCACAGGACGCCAGUAGAGAUAUUGGUUCCCUUGUGGCCUGUGUGCAGGUGGUGCAUGGCUGUCGUCAGCUCGUGUCGUGAGAUGUUGGGUUAAGUCCCGCAACGAGCGCAACCCUUGUCUCAUGUUGCCAGCACGUUAUGGUGGGGACUCGUGAGAGACUGCCGGGGUCAACUCGGAGGAAGGUGGGGAUGACGUCAAGUCAUCAUGCCCCUUAUGUCCAGGGCUUCACACAUGCUACAAUGGCCGGUACAAAGGGCUGCGAUGCCGUGAGGU
This 1013-nucleotide ribosomal RNA is filed under the name Mycobacterium sp. RNAcentral describes it as "bacterial SSU rRNA". It matches the Rfam family "Bacterial small subunit ribosomal RNA", at positions 238 to 1263 of the family's 1533-position model. The record is from RNAcentral. Lineage: Bacteria; Bacillati; Actinomycetota; Actinomycetes; Mycobacteriales; Mycobacteriaceae.